This is a long non-coding RNA of Piliocolobus tephrosceles (Ugandan red Colobus), 1692 nucleotides long. RefSeq lists it as uncharacterized. Lineage: Eukaryota; Metazoa; Chordata; Mammalia; Primates; Cercopithecidae. The record is from RefSeq and is a predicted model, not a curated record. The transcript has 3 exons.
UUCAUUAGAAAAAGCCACAGAAGGCCCUGGGUCCAAAAGACGAAUGCCCUUCCCGGCUUCCACCAUGGACUCUGCCUGCAAGAACUUUACCCCCAGCAGGAAAUCAGUUACGAAAACAAGCACACGUUUCAACGGGCUGAAGAAACGUGCCGGUCUGCCUGCAGCACGGGAUAUUAGCCGACUGUUCCUCGCACACAGGGCUGGCUUUGCUUUUGCUUGGCUGUCGAGGUGACACAUGCACACGAGUGGAACCUCUGUGCCUAGCACUGUGCUGGGACUCUGGGGGGAUGCACAGGUGAGCAGGUGCAGCCCACGCUGUCAGGAAUACCCUGAGAACCUGGCAACACUCCCGGGACUCAAGAAGGCAGGUGGGAUGAGAACUACAACAGAGGUGCAAAUGUUUACACCUAGAAGAUUUCACUACCAAAGCUGCUACUUUGGAGUAUCUGAUGAAUAACCAAAGAUUUCAAAAUUAGCAAACAAAAGACAAUCAACAACCUGUAAGAUACCCUGAUGCAUAAGGACUCACAACAGAGCACUUCCUUCAGAAGACCUCUGGUUUCUGACUCCAGGAAUCUGACUUCUGCUCCACAGCCACUCCAAGGGCUCCACUUUGGACUAUAAUUUGUAAGAAGACUGGGCUUUGGAGUCAGACACAUCCAAGUUCAGAGCCCACCUGGAUGCUGUGAGAUUCUGGCAAAGCCACUCACUCCCUCUGAAAAGUGGAUUGCGGGGAAGAUUAAGAGAGACUACUGAAGUGCCAUGUUUAAGUUGACAUCAGGAACACGGGUGCUACCUCCUUCCCAUGUUGCGAAAGCUUUGAUUUUGACCCAUCCUUGAGUCCUCAAGCUUGAACUCUGACCAGCCUGGGGAAGCUCAUUUGGUAUAUUGAUUUGAUUUGAUUUUUUUUCCUUUCUCUUUAUCAGUUCUGUGGCUAAAAGACCUCAGUCCUCCGGGCGACAUCACAUUGAUGCCUUUCACAAGCACUAACAUUCCCAUUCAAAACCGGAAAAUAUUUGACUAUCUUUGUUGUUGCUGCUAUAAAUCCUAUUGGAUUCACGUCAAAUAGGACAAAUUUCAAAUUUCACCCACGAGACCUUUAUCGGGUUUGCAUCCUAUUCAGAGACCCACAGUGGAAAACGGAUUUCAAAAUUGUGUGCACUGCAUUUUGAGGCUGAAUAUUUUAAAACCUGAAUGCAUAACCAAAACAUUGGCACAGGGCAAAUAAACUGUACUGACCCAUAUCAACGAAUGAUAUCAACUCCACUCCUACCCAGAGUGAGUGGAAUUGCUUAUCAAACAGACCCUUUCUCAUCUUCUCAUAAAUAACAACAACACAGAGAAUAGAAUGGACAGGACCCCCUUCCUAUUAUUUCUUCCUAUAUUUUCUUUCCACGGCUUUCUCACACCACAACCGACAAAAUAAGAUUACAGGAAUUUGUAAAUCAUUAGGAGCCUACAAAUUGCACAUCUGUGACUUAGAAUUUGGUAAAUUAAACAAAAGGCCUUUUUUUGUAUCUAUAGAUUGUGAAACGGACACCAUUAGGUUGCCUUUAAAAUACGUAAUAAAGCACACCUUCAGAUUCAAAUCUAUAGGUAAUCUUCUCACAGAUGAAAUGGUUCAUAUAACAUUAGUGACACCACAAAAUACCGUAUUAUAGCUCAUGAAUUACCAUCAUGCCUUUUACAAUU